This 824-nucleotide ribosomal RNA is filed under the name Streptomyces novaecaesareae. Its description in RNAcentral is "bacterial SSU rRNA". It matches the Rfam family "Bacterial small subunit ribosomal RNA", at positions 71 to 909 of the family's 1533-position model. The record is from RNAcentral. Lineage: Bacteria; Bacillati; Actinomycetota; Actinomycetes; Kitasatosporales; Streptomycetaceae.
UGAACCACUUCGGUGGGGAUUAGUGGCGAACGGGUGAGUAACACGUGGGCAAUCUGCCCUUCACUCUGGGACAAGCCCUGGAAACGGGGUCUAAUACCGGAUAACACCUCCACUCUCCUGAGUGGAGGUUAAAAGCUCCGGCGGUGAAGGAUGAGCCCGCGGCCUAUCAGCUUGUUGGUGAGGUAAUGGCUCACCAAGGCGACGACGGGUAGCCGGCCUGAGAGGGCGACCGGCCACACUGGGACUGAGACACGGCCCAGACUCCUACGGGAGGCAGCAGUGGGGAAUAUUGCACAAUGGGCGAAAGCCUGAUGCAGCGACGCCGCGUGAGGGAUGACGGCCUUCGGGUUGUAAACCUCUUUCAGCAGGGAAGAAGCGAAAGUGACGGUACCUGCAGAAGAAGCGCCGGCUAACUACGUGCCAGCAGCCGCGGUAAUACGUAGGGCGCAAGCGUUGUCCGGAAUUAUUGGGCGUAAAGAGCUCGUAGGCGGCUUGUCACGUCGGGUGUGAAAGCCCGGGGCUUAACCCCGGGUCUGCAUUCGAUACGGGCUAGCUAGAGUGUGGUAGGGGAGAUCGGAAUUCCUGGUGUAGCGGUGAAAUGCGCAGAUAUCAGGAGGAACACCGGUGGCGAAGGCGGAUCUCUGGGCCAUUACUGACGCUGAGGAGCGAAAGCGUGGGGAGCGAACAGGAUUAGAUACCCUGGUAGUCCACGCCGUAAACGGUGGGAACUAGGUGUUGGCGACAUUCCACGUCGUCGGUGCCGCAGCUAACGCAUUAAGUUCCCCGCCUGGGGAGUACGGCCGCAAGGCUAAAACUCAAAGGAA